GAAAGUAAAAUAUCUACAGUCAGGCAGCAUGGACCUCAGUUAGCCAAGAGAGCUGCCACCCAGCCAGCCACCAGUUUCAUGCAGUGACUAAUUAUAGCCAGUGGACAUGUGAUUAUCUUUUAAAGUCAUUUUCCUUGGAACGCGUUUUAUGAACCUAACAUUGCAGAAGAAUGUCUGCUUACUCCAGGGCACUUCAGUAUUCCUGAGGAAUAAAUAUGAUUUCGCUUUUCCUCCCACUGGGACAUUCUCAGGUAUGGAGGAAGAGGAAAAGAGUCUACACAGACCCAAAAACAAAGAAAGUCUUUCAGGAGCAGGCUGUGAUGAAGCAGUGGGAUUCAGGAUGGAAUGUAAUGUCAGAACACAAGCCCUCCCUGGAAAUCCAAAGGACAAUACCAGUGGUAGAGGUACCACUGUUUUUUCUCCAGAACUGGGAGGUCCCAUAAGGUAA
This 448-nucleotide long non-coding RNA is filed under the name Canis lupus familiaris (dog). RNAcentral's name for it is "lncRNA (ENSCAFG00040005354.1)". The record is from RNAcentral. Lineage: Eukaryota; Metazoa; Chordata; Mammalia; Carnivora; Canidae.